GCCAAGUCUAGAGGCAACAGAAACUGACAAGUGUCAAGAGGGUAAAGAAGCUGGCAGUUUAAUACUUGAAGAAACAUCUGAACCCCUAAUGAAUGAUAGUGGCCAGGGAGAGAGAGUGUGUGCCAUAGAAAACGGAGAUGCAGAUGAGCCUGAGGAAAGCAAGAUAGCUUCUGAAGAAUCCAAAAGCCGGAAUGCAGAAGCUGAAUUUGGGAAGAGCCAAACAGUGGAAACUCCAGAUCAAGUCCCAACAGAUAACGAUGAUCAUGCAGCUUCGGAAAAUCCGGGUCUGGAUGAAAUUGAGGAAACUAAAAUGUUAGCAAAUGAAGUUAAUGAAGUCAAAGAAGUCUCUGAUUCAGUUUAUGAGUCCAAAGAGCAGGUCACAGAAGAAGCUGAAGUUGAAGAAAGCCAAACAGUAGAAAAGCCAAAUCAAGUCCCACCUAAUCAUGGUGAUAAUGAUGAUGCAGAGAGACAGCGUGCAACUUUGGAAAAUACAGGUUCAGAUGAAGCUGAGGAAACCAAAAUAGUCUCCAAUGCUGUUGAUGAAACCAAGGAUCAGGUUUCUAAAGAGACUGCUGAAAAUGGGACAAGCUCAACUGUGGAAAAGAUGGACCACCCCCAAUCUAGUAAUUUUGA
This 633-nucleotide long non-coding RNA is filed under the name Citrus sinensis (sweet orange). RNAcentral's name for it is "long non-coding RNA (CSIN_LNC000930)". The record is from RNAcentral. Lineage: Eukaryota; Viridiplantae; Streptophyta; Magnoliopsida; Sapindales; Rutaceae.